RNAcentral lists this ribosomal RNA (331 nucleotides) under uncultured Lachnospiraceae bacterium. RNAcentral describes it as "partial 16S ribosomal RNA". The record is from RNAcentral. Lineage: Bacteria; Bacillati; Bacillota; Clostridia; Lachnospirales; Lachnospiraceae.
GGAGUUUGGGCCGUGUCUCAGUCCCAAUGUGGCCGAUUGCCCUCUCAGGCCGGCUAUUGAUCGUCGACUUGGUGAGCCGUUACCUCACCAACUAUCUAAUCAAACGCGGGUCCAUCGUAUGCCGAUAACUCUUUUCACACUCUCUCAUGCGAGAACGUGCGCUUAUGCGGUAUUAGCAGUCGUUUCCAACUGUUGUCCCCCUGCAUACGGCAGGUUACCCACGCGUUACUCACCCGUCCGCCACUAAGAUUUAACAAGAUUUGACCGAAGUCUCGUCAGCGUUAAAUCUCCGUUCGACUUGCAUGUGUUAAGCACGCCGCCAGCGUUCAUC